CAAAAACCUGGGAUGAGAACAUGAACAAUGACCCACCACUGCAAUCCACAACUUUACACCCCCCUAUAGAGGUAGUAUUAAAGAAGAAGGAACAAAAGUGGUGGUAGUUAUGCAGACACUUGUCUCAAAGGUGCAGGCUGGAAUGAGUUUACAAGGUGCCCAGUGGUUCCUCACUGUACUGAAGGGGUGUGAAGUGAGCAGAAAGCAGAUGUAUAGCUGAAGAUGAAAUCAAUACCC
Molecule: long non-coding RNA, 237 nt
Organism: Mauremys reevesii (Reeves's turtle)
Lineage: Eukaryota; Metazoa; Chordata; Testudines; Geoemydidae
Exons: 3
Source: RefSeq, a predicted model, not a curated record